RNAcentral lists this ribosomal RNA (468 nucleotides) under uncultured bacterium. Its description in RNAcentral is "partial 16S ribosomal RNA". It matches the Rfam family "Bacterial small subunit ribosomal RNA", at positions 28 to 507 of the family's 1533-position model. The record is from RNAcentral.
GACGAACGCUGGCGGCGUGCUUAACACAUGCAAGUCGAACGGAAAGGCCCUGCUUUUGUGUGGUGCUCGAGUGGCGAACGGGUGAGUAACACGUGAGUCACCUGCCCUUGACUUUGGGAUAACUUCAGGAAACUGGGGCUAAUACCGGAUAGGAGCUCCUGCUGCAUGGUGGGGGUUGGAAAGUUUCGGCGGUUGGGGAUGGACUCGCGGCUUAUCAGCUUGUUGGUGGGGUAGUGGCUUACCAAGGCUUUGACGGGUAGCCGGCCUGAGAGGGUGACCGGCCACAUUGGGACUGAGAUACGGCCCAGACUCCUACGGGAGGCAGCAGUGGGGAAUAUUGCACAAUGGGCGGAAGCCUGAUGCAGAAACGCCGCGUGCGGGAUGACGGCCUUCGGGUUGUAAACCGCUUUCGCCUGUGACGAAGCGUGAGUGACGGUAAUGGGUAAAGAAGCACCGGCUAACUACGUG